UCUCCGUAGGUGAACCUGCGGAGGGAUCAUUACAGAGUUCAUGCCCUACCGGGUAGAUCUCCCACCCUAUGUUAUUAUUACUUUGUUGCUUUGGCGGGCCGUUAGGCUCCGGCCCGACUACCGGCCCCGGCUGGUAAGCGCCCGCCAGAGGACCCAAAACCCUGAAUAUUAGUGUCGUCCGAGUGCUAUAUAAUAGUUAAAACUUUCAACAACGGAUCUCUUGGUUCUG
Molecule: unclassified non-coding RNA, 229 nt
Filed under: plant metagenome
Description: partial contains small subunit ribosomal RNA, internal transcribed spacer 1, and 5.8S ribosomal RNA
Source: RNAcentral